Molecule: long non-coding RNA, 868 nt
Organism: Ostrea edulis (European flat oyster)
Lineage: Eukaryota; Metazoa; Mollusca; Bivalvia; Ostreida; Ostreidae
Exons: 3
Source: RefSeq, a predicted model, not a curated record
GUAGAGACCGAUAGCAACCACGUGAUCAGUAAAAAUCGUGUAUUUUCACGUGAAAUUAUUUUUCGGAAUUCCGUACAUCGCCAUAGAGUAGUUGAAAAACAAAAAGGGGUUCCGAAAGUACAAGUUGUUGCUGUGACUGAUGAUUGAGAGGGUCGUCUCAACAAAAGAUAUAGAAAUUUGGCCAUAGUUUAGAUUAGGAAUACGUCAAUGUAAGAAUAGUGGACUAAAUGUUUCGUCCGUGCAGAAUGGCACUUUUUACCUCACGAAAUUCACCACCAUGCAUAGCUGCGCUACGUAAACAAACUUGUUGAUGUAGCGUGAUCGUGAUGUCCGAGUGCUGCGAGUUUCAAUACUGUUUAUGUAGUCAUUGAGAGUUUAAACAAAGUUUCUUCUGAGAAGAGGAAUUCGAUGGAUGCAUUCAACGUGGACAACGAAAUCAUAAUUUCGUUUGCAUCAUCCUAAGGACCAGUGCAAGUUGAAAUGGGCUUCCAGCCAACAACUUCAACAGCAAUUUGCCAUGAAAAUCAGCAAGAAAGGUACUUCAUUUACAUUGAUGAUGUCAUAUCCCCUGGACCCCACAACUUUACAGGUUACAGAGAAAAUUCAAGAACUUCUGCAAAAUGUGGGACUUGGAUAGAAUCAAUAAUGUAUUUGUGAGCCCAGAGCAAUGGAUAUAUUGUGCAACAUACUAAAGUGUGAAUUUAAUGGAAAACAAGUACAUGUACUCAUGUAUUACAUGUCUUUUUUAAAGACAAUAAUAUUGUAUAAAUAUAGAGGAAGUGUCAUUGUUGAUUAUUCUAAGUUUUUGAUAUAUCAAAAUCAGUAAACAUUUCUAAAUGAAAAUAAAAUACCAAUUUUAUAACUUUAA